RNAcentral lists this long non-coding RNA (577 nucleotides) under Pan troglodytes (chimpanzee). RNAcentral describes it as "lincRNA". Lineage: Eukaryota; Metazoa; Chordata; Mammalia; Primates; Hominidae. The record is from RNAcentral.
UUUCUAAUCCAGCUGUAAUGAAGACAGACAACAGUCAAAUUAACAACUGAUCAGGAGGAGAAGUUCAUAAUCCUUGAGCUGGAUCUAUCCGCACAUGCACCUGGCCCAGGAAGCUGAAAUGGGAGAUCUGAUGAGCAGUGGAGGACUGAACCAAAGCCCUUGGCUUUUGCUCCAUACCAAUCAGCCAUUCUGGACAUACACAUGGGCAGAAGAUGUAGCCGCCUUGUGUGAAAAUUUGAGAGCUCUCUACUCAAUCUUCCACAUAGUAUAACCCUCAUUGGCUGGAAUCAUAAUGAUAUCUGCAUCUGGAACUGGCCACUAGUAUAACACCUACAAAAUGCACAACGGCCUUCAGACCAUAUGAAAAGUCUACAGGGUGAGAAUCUGAAAAUCCAGCAAUGAGGAGAAAAAAGUUAUCUCCCAUUAAGAACACUUUCCAGAAGCUACACAAUUCCAUUUAUUGAUUCAUCCCAUUUACUAGAACCUGUUCAUCUGGCUAUGCCCAAAACCAAGGGAAACUGAAAUAGUGGUUACCAUAUUCUGUAACUCAGCCUAGCCUAGCUUCAGAAGUUUUAAU